Molecule: ribosomal RNA, 2409 nt
Filed under: Escherichia coli
Lineage: Bacteria; Pseudomonadati; Pseudomonadota; Gammaproteobacteria; Enterobacterales; Enterobacteriaceae
Description: bacterial LSU rRNA
Source: RNAcentral
AGCGUACACGGUGGAUGCCCUGGCAGUCAGAGGCGAUGAAGGACGUGCUAAUCUGCGAUAAGCGUCGGUAAGGUGAUAUGAACCGUUAUAACCGGCGAUUUCCGAAUGGGGAAACCCAGUGUGAUUCGUCACACUAUCAUUAACUGAAUCCAUAGGUUAAUGAGGCGAACCGGGGGAACUGAAACAUCUAAGUACCCCGAGGAAAAGAAAUCAACCGAGAUUCCCCCAGUAGCGGCGAGCGAACGGGGAGCAGCCCAGAGCCUGAAUCAGUGUGUGUGUUAGUGGAAGCGUCUGGAAAGGCGCGCGAUACAGGGUGACAGCCCCGUACACAAAAAUGCACAUGCUGUGAGCUCGAUGAGUAGGGCGGGACACGUGGUAUCCUGUCUGAAUAUGGGGGGACCAUCCUCCAAGGCUAAAUACUCCUGACUGACCGAUAGUGAACCAGUACCGUGAGGGAAAGGCGAAAAGAACCCCGGCGAGGGGAGUGAAAAAGAACCUGAAACCGUGUACGUACAAGCAGUGGGAGCACGCUUAGGCGUGUGACUGCGUACCUUUUGUAUAAUGGGUCAGCGACUUAUAUUCUGUAGCAAGGUUAACCGAAUAGGGGAGCCGAAGGGAAACCGAGUCUUAACUGGGCGUUAAGUUGCAGGGUAUAGACCCGAAACCCGGUGAUCUAGCCAUGGGCAGGUUGAAGGUUGGGUAACACUAACUGGAGGACCGAACCGACUAAUGUUGAAAAAUUAGCGGAUGACUUGUGGCUGGGGGUGAAAGGCCAAUCAAACCGGGAGAUAGCUGGUUCUCCCCGAAAGCUAUUUAGGUAGCGCCUCGUGAAUUCAUCUCCGGGGGUAGAGCACUGUUUCGGCAAGGGGGUCAUCCCGACUUACCAACCCGAUGCAAACURCGAAUACCGGAGAAUGUUAUCACGGGAGACACACGGCGGGUGCUAACGUCCGUCGUGAAGAGGGAAACAACCCAGACCGCCAGCUAAGGUCCCAAAGUCAUGGUUAAGUGGGAAACGAUGUGGGAAGGCCCAGACAGCCAGGAUGUUGGCUUAGAAGCAGCCAUCAUUUAAAGAAAGCGUAAUAGCUCACUGGUCGAGUCGGCCUGCGCGGAAGAUGUAACGGGGCUAAACCAUGCACCGAAGCUGCGGCAGCGACGCUUAUGCGUUGUUGGGUAGGGGAGCGUUCUGUAAGCCUGYGAAGGUGUGCUGUGAGGCAUGCUGGAGGUAUCAGAAGUGCGAAUGCUGACAUAAGUAACGAUAAAGCGGGUGAAAAGCCCGCUCGCCGGAAGACCAAGGGUUCCUGUCCAACGUUAAUCGGGGCAGGGUGAGUCGACCCCUAAGGCGAGGCCGAAAGGCGUAGUCGAUGGGAAACAGGUUAAUAUUCCUGUACUUGGUGUUACUGCGAAGGGGGGACGGAGAAGGCUAUGUUGGCCGGGCGACGGUUGUCCCGGUUUAAGCGUGUAGGCUGGUUUUCCAGGCAAAUCCGGAAAAUCAAGGCUGAGGCGUGAUGACGAGGCACUACGGUGCUGAAGCAACAAAUGCCCUGCUUCCAGGAAAAGCCUCUAAGCAUCAGGUAACAUCAAAUCGUACCCCAAACCGACACAGGUGGUCAGGUAGAGAAUACCAAGGCGCUUGAGAGAACUCGGGUGAAGGAACUAGGCAAAAUGGUGCCGUAACUUCGGGAGAAGGCACGCUGAUAUGUAGGUGAAGUCCCUCGCGGAUGGAGCUGAAAUCAGUCGAAGAUACCAGCUGGCUGCAACUGUUUAUUAAAAACACAGCACUGUGCAAACACGAAAGUGGACGUAUACGGUGUGACGCCUGCCCGGUGCCGGAAGGUUAAUUGAUGGGGUUAGCGCAAGCGAAGCUCUUGAUCGAAGCCCCGGUAAACGGCGGCCGUAACUAUAACGGUCCUAAGGUAGCGAAAUUCCUUGUCGGGUAAGUUCCGACCUGCACGAAUGGCGUAAUGAUGGCCAGGCUGUCUCCACCCGAGACUCAGUGAAAUUGAACUCGCUGUGAAGAUGCAGUGUACCCGCGGCAAGACGGAAAGACCCCGUGAACCUUUACUAUAGCUUGACACUGAACAUUGAGCCUUGAUGUGUAGGAUAGGUGGGAGGCUUWGAAGUGUGGACGCCAGUCUGCAUGGAGCCGACCUUGAAAUACCACCCUUUAAUGUUUGAUGUUCUAACGUUGACCCGUGAUCCGGGUUGCGGACAGUGUCUGGUGGGUAGUUUGACUGGGGCGGUCUCCUCCUAAAGAGUAACGGAGGAGCACGAAGGUUGGCUAAUCCUGGUCGGACAUCAGGAGGUUAGUGCAAUGGCAUAAGCCAGCUUGACUGCGAGCGUGACGGCGCGAGCAGGUGCGAAAGCAGGUCAUAGUGAUCCGGUGGUUCUGAAUGGAAGGGCCAUCGC